GUUAGACCUAUAAUGUGUAACGUGCGUGCGGCGCAGGGUGAAGCACGUGACGGUGCUGCUGUCGGAGUCGGAGCGCGAGUGCGCGCGGCGGUGGCAGCUGAGCGAGCUGCUGAAGGCGGAGCUGCGGCGCGCGCGCGGCGCCGACCACAGCGCGCACAACGCGGAGUACAUGAAGAACGUCACGCUCAAGUUUUUGACACUGCCGCCGGGUGACGAAAGAGGGCGUUUGGUGCCGGUACUCCAGAAAAUUUUAACUCUGACACAAGAGGAGACGCAGAAAAUACAAGCCAUAGCCAAAGGUAUGGAUCCAAACCCAGGCAAAGGCUGGGGAAGCUAUCUACCAUGGCCGGGCAGCAAGUAACCAGCAAUAUAGACGCAUAUUGACAUUAUCUGUGAUCAAAAUUUUGACAUACUUUAUUUUUUGUAAAUUUCCGAUUUGUCACGGUAUUUAACUGUAUAAAAGUAUAGAGAUUUUAAUUUCUAAAUGUAUUUGAUAUAAGUUAUUAAAUUCUAAUAUUAUUUAUAUUCAUAUAGAUAUUAGAAUAUAAGUAAAUGAUGGGUUCGCGUUAAUACUUCCCGUUUAUCGUAAUUUAUAACUGAAUUCGCUUUUAAUUCGAGAUUUGCGUAUAAGUAACCCAAUAUUAUAAUAGAGGCAACUCUUGUUUAAUUUCAACUUACAUAUGUAGGCUGUUAGAUCCUUUUAAACAUUACUUACUUUAAAGUUGAUGCACAGUCUAAUAUUUUACAGUAUAAAGAAACUCUCCAAUAUUUUUUUUGCCACUUCCGUAUAUACAUUUUCCAUUUCGAGUGUCCAUAAAAAAAUCCAAACGUUUGAUAGUAAUUAUUGAACAACUAAGUACAGAUAAGAAAAGGUCUAGGGAACAUGACCUCGUUAUAAGCUACUAUGCUUACAUGCACAAGGGAGCUAAUGCAUAUAUAUGGGUUGAAUUCGCGAAAUUAGAAUAUCUUAUUAAUAGAAAUUAUUUUCUUUUUAAUCUGUAAGAAAAUUAUUAUAACAGGAUGUGAUUAUUAUCGAAAUUUCCGAAUCACGUUCUGAGUUCAUGUACAUUUCAUAUUAAUUCCGCUAAUAUGUGAUUCAUCUAUCCUUGUCUUAUUAAUGAAUGUUUGUUAGGGAUUAACGUGUGAGCUGUUAGCGACUUUUAAAAAAAAAUUUGACACAUAGAUAAGCUACCUAAGCUACUAUUAUUUCAGUAAAUUACAAUUACGCAGGCCGCGCCCAUACCAUAAAUAAUGUUAAUUUUACUUAUUUUUUUUAGUUUUUUGCGUACACUAAAGGGAGUAUUACCGCGACCGUAUCGAAAUAAAAUAAAAUUGUAAUUAUCACAAAUAUACACGAUUUAUAAUUAUUUAUAGUUCUAGUUUCUAAAUCAUUUUCUAUAGCCGCUAUCAUUUCUUAAUUGCAAUAAAUGAUAAAACUGGUAAUUAUUUUAAAAAUGACAUUUGGCAUUUUUAUCUAAAUUACGCAACUUUGAUCAAUUAUUUAAACGAGUUGCAAACAUGUAGAUUACAUAAUGGAUUAGUACUAAUUGUUAGACUUGUAAACGUCAGCAUUAUAAUAAUUUUUGUGCGCCGGGCAUUUUGAACAUGAACAUUCCGUUAUAGAAUUAAUAAAAUUAGUCCUAAUGGAAAAAGUUAUUACUCAAACUUUAUUAGUACUACACUUACCUACGUAGCGUGAUUAAUGUAGCUUAAUACAAAUUGUACUCAUAUUACAUACUUCCAGAAUACCUGACUUGAAACAUCAUUACAAAUGGUUCAGUUUCCCAAUUAAACAUUUUGUACUUAUUUUUUCGUUGCAUCAUGGUGCCAAAUUAAUUAUGAUUACGUAGGUAACUGAAAGCCGGCUCAUCCCUUGUUUAUCAUAUUUUUGACAUUCUUCAAAUAACUUUACAUAUCGAUAAUAUUGUUAUGCCUAUUAUGUUAUUAUGCGUUAUAGGAAAUAUAUGAAAACUAGAAAUUGUAUACAAUUCUUAAAAUUAACGAAAGAACAAAACUUGCCUAAAACGAAAGAUGAAACCAGAAUGAAAAUGCCUUUUCAUUAUAGUCCUCGAUGGCAUAAUCGGGUCACAUUAUGAAUUGCUUUUAUUUGUCACCGAAAUGAACUUAUUAGGAAGGUCCCUAUCGUGGUAAAAAAUUAUUACAUCAAUAUACCCAACCGAAUGGGUAAAACUAUGACGUAGCUAGGUAAGGAAGGGUCCAGGUGCAAGAAAACAAACUAAAAUGGUGCCAUAAAAAGUAUAUUGAUUCAAAAUUUUUGGAAGAUUGAACACCGAUAGGGAUUUUUGCUGUACUCAGAAUUGUUAUAAUAUAUUGAGUUUUAUUUAAUACUUAAAGUCUUGACACAAACAGUGCCCACAUUGCAAAUUUUUCGGAUAUCAAGGAAUAUAAUCAAUUAAUUUCGCAUCACUUAGAUUUUGUCUCGCGGAAAUUCUAUCUGUCUCUAAAUUUACUGCCCAUUACAUUACGGAGACUGGCAAAGUAAACCCCUAUUUCCAUUACACUUUUGUUUAUUAUCAAGUAAGUAAGUAAAUAAUUAAUAUAGACUACCUUGGUGAUCUUAUAAAUUGUACGUAUGACCUACUUAAUUCAAGAUUAAGUAAAUUUAUGGAUUUCAAUAUUGUUGCAUACUUAAUUGACGGCAUAAGAUGUAUUUAUAUAUUACGAAUAAUUAUAUACCUAUCGAAAUAAAAGCUACAUAAAUAAA
Molecule: long non-coding RNA, 2725 nt
Organism: Manduca sexta (tobacco hornworm)
Lineage: Eukaryota; Metazoa; Arthropoda; Insecta; Lepidoptera; Sphingidae
Exons: 3
Source: RefSeq, a predicted model, not a curated record